Molecule: long non-coding RNA, 1182 nt
Filed under: Olea europaea subsp. europaea
Lineage: Eukaryota; Viridiplantae; Streptophyta; Magnoliopsida; Lamiales; Oleaceae
Source: RNAcentral
AACAAGCUUCGAUGUAGAAGGCUAGAACAUGAUAUCAUUGUCUUUAAACGAUAUCUACUUCCUCUCCGGAUUGUAUGAAAUGCUUAAGGGUUUUUAGGAAAAUAGUUUAAAGGAUUAAUCAAACCUUGUUGCAGGAAUAUCAAAGCAUAAAAUAUUCCUAUCAAAACUUGAAGAACACGAAGGGAUUUUGAAUAUAAGUGAAGAAUCGAUCUUUGAUCUUGAUUGUGGAAUGUUAAUAUAAAUCUCAAUGUUUUUCUUACCUCUUUGCCUUCAACAUUGAUUAUUUAUUUAUAGGUCACUACCAAAUCGUACGAAAUGGUGCCAAAAAUAUGAUGAAAGGCUUCCAAAUUCAAAUAACAAAAGGUAAAAACGACCAUAAAUAGUAGAAAACUUUGUUCCAUUCGACCACAUUCGUUUACAAUUGAACCGUGUGGUCGCAUCGCAUGGUUCUCCUAGAACCAGGCCUCAAUAUCUCUAUAUAUGCCCAUGCGACCCGCAUAGGUAUAAGUUUUGGCCUCCAUUUUCUUUUUUUUUUAAUUCCUCACACGACACGACACUUCAUCGUUUUUGAACAACCAAUUCUUAACAAUAUAAGAAGCUUGAAAAUAUAAUCGACGGUCUUCACGCAAUAUGAGUUGCAAAUCUCUAAAAGAAUUUCGUAGAAUUGAAGUUUUGACAAAAUGGUAGCCUUUCUAAUCGUGAAUGUUGAGAAAAUGGUAAACUAGUGAAAUAUUCGAAAAUUUAACUCUCCACAGUUUUAGGUUUCUCUUCUCAUAACCAUUGGUACUUGGUUAAGAUCUAGAAUGUGAAAAUAAUUUAUCACUCAAAGUGAAUACUACCUUUGCGUAAUCGCAUAUUAAUACAUUUCUGUUUGCUCGUAUGUAUUUUUGUGUUGAUAUAUAUGUAUUUAAAUGUAUAUAGUGUCUGGUUUCAUCCCUGCAUGAUAUACUAGAAGACUUUUAGGUGUGAAAUAUGUAAAUUGGUCAUUAACAAUUCUACAAACUUCAAGUACUCUUUGUAUAAAAGUGUGUGUGUGUGUAUUGUCUAUACACGUAUGUUAGGUAUUAUAGUGUAUAAUAGAAGAAAUUUUUAGAUGUGAAAAACGUAAUUUAGUCGUCAAAUAUUUUGCAAAAAUCAAGUACACUUUACUUGCAAACCUUUGCAUAUUAUUUUAGUUCGUGC